GUACUUGUUAAAGACAGAGCAGAUCGAAUGAGGGACAGGCCUGUAAGGAAGGAUAGAAAAUAAGGUAAAAAAAUAAGGUUUGGUGCAAAUCAAAGGAUCUCUGGCAUCCCCUCUUUCGUCUUACGCGCAGCUGACAAUGAAGGGGUUGACGUCGUGUUCCUAACGUACAGUGCAGCCAAGAAGUAACUAUAGUACACCUUCCAAGCAGACUCGCUGAGCUCAGGAAACAAAAGAAAGAAGUGAGCCCAGUUUCUGUUUUCGCUUCCUUUCCCGCCCUUUACUAACGCAGCUUGCACUCGUUCGUUGGACCGCGUGGAGCGUUGCUUACAAAUAAGACGAGUGGAUUUUCUCUACUCUCCUGCAGCCUCUCAAGACAGACUCUGCAGUGACCCUCGAGCGUGAGCGUCUCCUAAUUACUAUGCUACUCAAAGCCGACGAGUCUGCCUGCCACCUGCCGCCAGCCACCCGCCUUUUAGCGCCAUCUGUGCCCUCUUUUUAAAUCCUGCUUGAAGUGAACACUGAAGAUUCCUUGGCACACGAGAGGAAUUUCCUGUCCUUUGCAUUUUCUCCGUCGCCACACGCUGCCUGCUUCUCACGGCCACCAAGCAAAGGCCUUGGUGUCCUUGUAGCAGCCUGGCCUGUACACCCUGACGGUGGCCGUGUAUGCUCCCACAGAGGGCACACGAACCGUCACCUGCUCCUCCCGCUGGUACCGACACACGUGGAGCCUGAUGAGUAAAUAAUUGGACACCAGCAGAGACCAGCACUAGCAGCAGCACCUCACCUCCCUCUUUCCCUCCUGCGUCUCCUCCCUGCUGUCGCUUUCUUUCUUUUCUUUCUUUCUUCCCCUUUUUCCUCCCUGCGAAACAUGCAGGUUGUGACCCACGCGCUGCUGGCAGAAUGUAGACAAAGUGUCAAAAGUAAAAACGUAGAUUCUGGUGCACAAUCUUGCAUCUUGCUACUUCAUGAUACGAAUUACUAAUCGUAUGAACAGCUAAGGUAAUUAAUGAUGUAGUAAUGCCUUGUUUAGUUUAUCAAUUUUUCACGUAUAUAUGAUUUUGCACAAGCAGAGAGACAUUAAUAUUAGAGGAUAGAAACAACUAGACAUGCAAACAAAGCGAAAAACAGGGAAAGACGGACAGACACAAUGAGCUUGAUAGAAAAUAAAUAAGAAGACAGGAAGCCAGUCAGACACACACGCACACAUACAGAUACAAACAGGAAAACAGAGAGAACAGAUAGACAUCCGGUCAGCCACACAAUCACACAGGAAGACAAGAAGGCAGUCAGACACAGACACAUACAAACAGAAGAGAGAGAGAGAACAGACAGACAGACAGAAAUAUAAUCAGUUACAUAAGCACACAAGAAGACAGGGAGGCAGCCAGACAAAGAGACAAAACUGUCUUGACCUUUCUGCCAGGCACAAGGAGGUGUCGGUAAUCACAGGAGCUGCCUUCGAAUGCAAAUAACACGUCAGGUGGCCAGGUAACACUUAGUCUUGCAUGUGGCACGGUCGUGAUGUCGCCCCGUCUCUCUCUCUCUCUCUCUCUCUCUCUCUCUCUCUCUCUCUCUCUCUCUCUCUCUCUCUCUCUCUCUCUCUCUCUCUCUCUCUCUCUCUCUCUCUCUCUCUCUCAACAGACUGUCAAAACUGUGAUCACGGCUUGUAAAUUUGUAGUAUAUGGUUACCCUGAUAAUGUGUAAGUUUAAGCCACGUAAUCAAAUAUCGAAUAAAAAAAGAAAACUCACUAUCCAGGAUAUCUCAACGCAAAUCCCACGCAUGUUCAAUAUCAAGUUAAGUACAUAUCCUAUAUUUAUUUCUAAUCCUCCUUCUCGCGUGAGGACGUUAAUUCACCGGACAAGACUUGAGGCCUUGUUCAAGAGCUCCGGCUGAAUUGAGAAUGGGCCGCGCUGCCUCCGCCUGCAACUCUGGUAUCUAUUCCGUUUUCUGUUCCCCUUACUGGGUGGUGUUGGUCCUGCCGCCGCUUCCCACACGCUUCCUGGAAAACGGUCAGCUUUAUCUCGACACAAGGAAGGGUUUUGCCUCACUAUUUGAAGGGAAGAUUGUUGGUUUAUUUCACCCUGUGUUUUAUUUUCCUCAGAUUGUGUCUUGACUUCAUUUCCUUUGUUCUGUGUUGUUAUGUUGUGUUUCGUUGUGUUGCAAUGUAAGAGUUUGAGGGUUUGUUGUCGUGUGGCAACGUGUGAUGUCUUGCUUGUCCUGGUGCGAGUACUGUGUUGUAGUGUGUGUGUCUGUUGAAUAUGACACACACACACACACACACACACACACACACACACACACACAGCGAUUCGAGUUAACAUUACACCUUUUAUUGUUAUUAGCUUUAUUAAAAAAAAAAAAAACUACCACUGCAGACAGUUUGUAGAUUUGUCACUUAGCAUGUUGUCAUUCAUCUACUGCCCUCAUACGUAUAGUGUCUUUUAAUCACCUCUUAAGUCGUUUAUAUAUUUUCUUUAUUAUCGCUGGGGCAUUUUCACUGUAUACUAUGUAGCUGCGUUUCGUGUUUAUUUAUAUAUAUUUUUUAUUUUACUUUUUAUUCUAUUAUAUAUUUAUGUUUUGUGUACAGGUGUGAUUUACGGUCAUCCUCACAUUUUUCCUACUACGACUGAAAGGAUUUAAUCUUUUUAUACUCUGCUGACUCUGUGAUCCCAUUUCUGUAUAUUAAGACCUCAUAUGUAUGUAUAUAGUUCUAAACUUAACGUGUUUGUAAAUCUAUGUCUGUAAUGAAUGAAAUGGCAAUGGGAAGGAAAGCGCUUGUCUGUAUGCAUGUAAAUAUAUACACGUACAUACACGGUGGUCGAGUGGUCUGUGUACUUAGAGGUGACGUCAGCUGGGUGUGCGGGGUGGUGUUGACACAGACUGCCCUCCUCUUCCCCUCUUAUAUUCCUCCUUCCCUUACGCUGUCUUCCCUGCAGCCAUCCGUUCGCACACGCAGCCGCUCCCUCUCUUUGUCCCCUGCAGCCCUCAGAAAACCUAAAUAAGCCCCUCUACUCGCCAAACACACACACACACACACACACACACACACACACACACACACACACACACACACACACACACACACACACACACACACACA
Long non-coding RNA from Scylla paramamosain (green mud crab), 3101 nucleotides. RefSeq lists it as uncharacterized. Lineage: Eukaryota; Metazoa; Arthropoda; Malacostraca; Decapoda; Portunidae. The transcript is spliced from 7 exons. The record is from RefSeq and is a predicted model, not a curated record.